AGCGAACGCUGGCGGCAGGCUUAACACAUGCAAGUCGAGCGGGCAUCCAGGUGGUGUCAGCGGCAGACGGGGGAGUAACGCGUGGGAACGUGGCCUUCGGUUCGGACUAACUCAUGGAAACGUGUGCUAAUAGCGGAUACGUGCGAGAGCAGAAAGGUUUAUCUGACGUAGGAUCGGCCCGCUUCGGAUUAUCUAGGUGUGGAGGUUAUGGGUCACCAAGGCGACGAUCAGUAGAUGGUCUGAGAGGAUGAUCAGCAACUCUGGGACGAGGACACGGCCGAGAAUCUUACAGGAGGCAGCAGUGCCGAAUCUUGCAAUAUGGCGGCAGCCAUGAUCCCGCCCUGGCGCGUGAGCGCUUUCGUCCUGAGGGUUGUACAGCUCUUUUCUACGCGACGAUACUGACGGUACCGGAGGAAUAAGCCCCGGCUAACUUCGUG
Molecule: ribosomal RNA, 437 nt
Filed under: uncultured bacterium
Lineage: Bacteria
Description: partial 16S ribosomal RNA
Rfam family: Bacterial small subunit ribosomal RNA
Source: RNAcentral